ACUCGGCCACAGUUAAUUUGUAUAUAAAACUACCUUUCACUAAUGUUUUUAUUUCCAAAAGGUGAAAUUUUUGCGAAAUAUUGUCCCAAACAAGCCUAUCUGGCGUAGCAGCCAGAAAAGGUACUCCGGAAUUUACACAUAAACCACAAUUAUAAACUUUAUAUUGUGGAAUUUUUCUAGUAAACUCAAUAGUUGGUAUUGUCGCAUAACAAUAUGGCGACGGUGAAUAUGGUCAAUUAGCGAUUCAAGUUCAUCUCCAAGCCACCUAUCGGAAGAAACUGUAAUAUCGGCUUAAGUGUUCGAGGAGUUAUAAUAUAUAUGAAAGUUUGUUCAAAGCAUUUUGAAGAGUCUGAUUUUCAUACACAAAGUAAGGAGCUGAGACACGCAGAUUUGUGUUUGAGACCGAGAAAAACUAACUUGAGACGCCGAAAUUUGAAAAGAAAUGCAGUCCCAACAAAAAACCUUCCUACAGGUACUCAUGAGAACAUAAAGAAGAAAGAAAGACGGAAUUUAACUAGAUAUGAUCCUGUAUAACAACCAAUUUUGAAAUCUGACUGUGAAGUAAUGACACAAAAUCAAGAUGAAAGUGAACUUCAUGCUCAGGAAAUGAUUCACAGGCCUGAUGAAUUGUUGGCUGCUGAAGCUCUAUGUGCUUUCAUCAAUAAGGACAAUUUGUGACAAUAUUACUACAAAUCAAAAGCUUAACAGCUUGACAGGGUUGAAUUCUUUCAAAAUGCUGAAAACUAUUGAAAUUUUAGUAUUAAGAAUAAAAAGAGAAAAUUUUGUUUCAUCCCUCAAUAUUAGGGAAAAAAUACAUUUACAAAACUAAAGAAUGACACGAGCUAUGUUGUAUUGUCUUUACUCUUUGGAAACAUCAGUUCCCAAAGUAUAAAAGAAAUUUUUUAUGACAUGUUAACUGUGUUAGCGACAGUAUUGAAACCUGCGAGCUAUCUUCCACCUAUUGAGGAAAUUCGUAAUAAUUUGCCACAACACUUUGAGCAAUUUACUGAUAGUAAGAUGUUAUUCUAACUAUAAAGGGAAUAACACUGUAAAAUUCAUGGUGGCCAUGACGCCUGCAGGAUUGAUCAGUUUUGUCAGUGAAGCUUAUGGUGGAAGAGCAUCUGACAAAAUAAUUUUUGAGCAGAGUGGUCUCAUAUCCUCCCUGAAGCCUAAUGAGGAUGCCAUUAUGGUGGAUCGAAGUUUUCUAAUUGAUGAAAUUUUUCCGGAAAACGGAAUAAAACUGAUUCGCCCACCAUUCAUGCGAAACAGAAAACAAAUGUCUCUUCAGGAGGUUGAACAAAAUAUAUUCAUAGCUAGAGCAAGAGUCCAUAU
This is a long non-coding RNA of Harmonia axyridis, 1332 nucleotides long. RefSeq lists it as uncharacterized. The record is from RefSeq and is a predicted model, not a curated record. The transcript is spliced from 6 exons. NCBI's taxonomy places the organism in Eukaryota, Metazoa, Arthropoda, Insecta, Coleoptera, Coccinellidae.